RNAcentral lists this ribosomal RNA (301 nucleotides) under uncultured bacterium. RNAcentral describes it as "partial 16S ribosomal RNA". It matches the Rfam family "Bacterial small subunit ribosomal RNA", at positions 509 to 807 of the family's 1533-position model. The record is from RNAcentral.
CAGUAGCCGCGGGAAUACGUAGGGUGCAAGCGUUAAUCGGAAUUACUGGGCGUAAAGCGUGCGCAGGCGGUUAUAUAAGACAGAUGUGAAAUCCCCGGGCUUAACCUGGGAACUGCAUUUGUGACUGUAUAGCUAGAGUACGGCAGAGGGGGAUGGAAUUCCGCGUGUAGCAGUGAAAUGCGUAGAUAUGCGGAGGAACGCCGAUGGCGAAGGCAAUCCCCUGGGCCUGUACUGACGCUCAUGCACGAAAGCGUGGGGAGCAAACAGGAUUAGAUACCCGAGUAGUCCCUGUCUCUUAUAC